This 1420-nucleotide ribosomal RNA is filed under the name uncultured Bordetella sp. RNAcentral's name for it is "partial 16S-23S ribosomal RNA intergenic spacer". It matches the Rfam family "Bacterial small subunit ribosomal RNA". Lineage: Bacteria; Pseudomonadati; Pseudomonadota; Betaproteobacteria; Burkholderiales; Alcaligenaceae. The record is from RNAcentral.
AACGCUGGCGGGAUGCUUUACACAUGCAAGUCGAACGGCAGCACGGACUUCGGUCUGUGGCGAGGGCGAACGGGCAGGCACGUAUCAACGUGCCUAGAAGCGGGGGAUAACUACGCGAAAGUUGCAUAAUACCGCAUACGCCCUUCGGGGAAAGCGGGGACCUUCGGGCCUCGCACUAUUAGAGCGGCCGAUAUCACCGGAUUAGCUGGUUGGUGGGGUAACGGCUCACCACAAGGAUCCGUAGCCGGUUUGAGAGGACGACCAGUCACACUGGGACUGAGACACGGCCCAGACUCCUACGGAGGCAGGGAAUUUUGGACAAUGGGGGAACCCGAUCCAGCCAUCCUUGGGCGUGUGCGAUGAAGGCCUUCGGGUUGUAAAGCACUUUUGGCAGGAAAGAAACGGCACGGGAUAAUACCUCGUGCAAUCGACGGUACCUGCAGAAUAAGCACCGGCUAACUAAUGCGCCAGCAGCCGCGGUAAUACGUAGGUGCAAGCGUUAAUCGGAAUGCUGGGCGCAGCGUGCGCAGGCGGUUCGGAAAGAAAGAUGAAAUCCCAGAGCUUAACUGGAACUGCAUUUAACUACCGAGCUUAGAGUGCAACAGAGGGAGGGAAUUCCCGCGUGUAGCAGUGAAAUGCGUAGAUAUGCGGAGGAACACCGAUGGCGAAGGCAGCCUCCUGGGAUAACACUGACGCUCAUGCACGAAAGUGAUAAACAGGAUUAGAUACCCGGUAGUCCACGCUCUGGAAACGAUGUCAACUAGUCAGCUGGGGGGCCUUCGGGCCUUGGUAGCGCAGCUAACGCGUGAAGUUGGACCGCCUGGGGAGUACUGGCUGCAAGAUUAAAACCAAAGGAAUUGACGGGGACCCGCACAAGCGGAUGAUGCAUUAAUUGAUGCAACGCGAAAAAACCUUACCUACCUUGACAUAUGUCUGGAAUCCUGAAGAGAUUUGGGAGUGCUCGCAAGAGAACCGGAACACAGGUGCUGCAUGGUCGUCAGCCGUGUCGAGAUGUUGGGUUAAGUCCUGCAACGAGCGCAACCCUUGUCAUUAGUUGCUACGAAAGGGCACUCUAAUGAGACUGCCGGUGACAAACCGAGGAAGGGGAUGACGCUGAGUCCUCAUGGCCCUUGCAGGUAGGGCUUGCCACGUCAUACAAUGGUCGGGACAGGGGGUCGCCAACCCGAGGGGGAGCUAAUCCCAGAAACCCGAUCGUAGUCCGGAUCGCAGUCUGCAACUCGACUGCGUGAAGUCGGAAUCGCUAGUAAUCGCGGAUCAGUACGGUCGCGGUAAUACGUUCCUGGUCUUGUACACACCGCCCGUCACACCACAAGGAGUGGCUUUACCAGAAGUGGUUACCUAACUGCAAGGAGGGCGAUUACCACGGUAGGAUUCAUGACUGUAAAGUCGUAACAGGUAA